UCUUAUCAAGAGUGGCGGAGGGAAUAGGCCCUACGAUGCCCGGCAACCACCAAGUUCUUUUACUUGGAAAGGUGCUAAAUCCUACAAAUUCUUUUAUGAAUUUGGAAGAUAAGA
This 114-nucleotide non-coding RNA is filed under the name uncultured Psychrobacillus sp. RNAcentral's name for it is "SAM riboswitch (S box leader)". It matches the Rfam family "SAM riboswitch aptamer (S box leader)". From Rfam's summary of the family: The SAM riboswitch is found upstream of a number of genes which code for proteins involved in methionine or cysteine biosynthesis in Gram-positive bacteria. The SAM riboswitch acts at the level of transcription termination control. The predicted structure consists of a complex stem-loop region followed by a single stem loop terminator region. Lineage: Bacteria; Bacillati; Bacillota; Bacilli; Caryophanales; Bacillaceae. The record is from RNAcentral.